CCUACGGGAGGCAGCAGUGAGGAAUAUUGGUCAAUGGACGCGAGCCUGAACCAGCCAAGUAGCGUGAAGGAUGACUGCCCUACGGGUUGUAAACUUCUUUUAUAAAGGAAUAAAGUGAUGCACGUGUGCCUUUUUGUAUGUACUUUAUGAAUAAGGAUCGGCUAACUCCGUGCCAGCAGCCGCGGUAAUACGGAGGAUCCGAGCGUUAUCCGGAUUUAUUGGGUUUAAAGGGAGCGUAGAUGGGUUGUUAAGUCAGUUGUGAAAGUUUGCGGCUCAACCGUAAAAUUGCAAUUGAUACUGGCAGCCUUGAGUACAGUAGAGGUAGGCGGAAUUCGUGGUGUAGCGGUGAAAUGCUUAGAUAUCACGAAGAACUCCGAUUGCGAAGGCAGCUUACUAAACUGCCACUGACACUGAGGCUCGAAAGUGUGGGUAUCAAACAGGAUUAGAUACCCGAGUAGUC
Molecule: ribosomal RNA, 460 nt
Filed under: uncultured bacterium
Lineage: Bacteria
Description: partial 16S ribosomal RNA
Rfam family: Bacterial small subunit ribosomal RNA
Source: RNAcentral